GGAUGUGAGGCUGAUCUGGCUUCAACAUCUUUCACCCCAUUGAUCAUCGGGGUUGAUUUGGCGGAUCUAACUGUCUUGGAGGGAAUCCUCUUCCUCCCUCACCACUCCAUGUGUGUCCCUCCCCGAGCUGCACGCUUGGCCAGAGAGGACAACCUGCCCUGAAAGAGGAGAACUGUUCUUCAGCCAGGGGUAUACAGGUAGCCGUGCUCCCCUGCUAAACCUCCAAACAAGUUCUCAAGGUCCCACUCAGGGUUUUGGGUCCUCUCCAUAGGAGAGCCAUGUGCCAACUGCAGCUAGUCAGCCACCUUG
Molecule: unclassified non-coding RNA, 309 nt
Organism: Otolemur garnettii (small-eared galago)
Lineage: Eukaryota; Metazoa; Chordata; Mammalia; Primates; Galagidae
Gene: 7SK
Rfam family: 7SK RNA
About the family: 7SK was discovered as an abundant small nuclear RNA in the mid-70s but a possible function has only recently been suggested. Two independent studies have found that 7SK RNA binds the CDK9/cyclin T complex (known as elongation factor P-TEFb). P-TEFb activates transcription by phosphorylating the C-terminal domain of RNA polymerase II.
Source: Ensembl